ACGCUCGACACCUACGGAGGCAGCAGUGGGGAAUAUUGCACAAUGGAGGAAACUCUGAUGCAGCGAUGCCGCGUGAGGGAAGAAGGUUUUCGGAUUGUAAACCUCUGUCUUUGGGGACGAUAAUGACGGUACCCAAGGAGGAAGCUCCGGCUAACUACGUGCCAGCAGCCGACGGUAAUCUGAGCGGGCUGGCAAGGC
This 198-nucleotide ribosomal RNA is filed under the name uncultured bacterium. RNAcentral describes it as "partial 16S ribosomal RNA". It matches the Rfam family "Bacterial small subunit ribosomal RNA", at positions 328 to 539 of the family's 1533-position model. The record is from RNAcentral.